This 262-nucleotide ribosomal RNA is filed under the name uncultured Spirochaeta sp. RNAcentral's name for it is "partial 16S ribosomal RNA". It matches the Rfam family "Bacterial small subunit ribosomal RNA", at positions 1117 to 1382 of the family's 1533-position model. The record is from RNAcentral. Lineage: Bacteria; Pseudomonadati; Spirochaetota; Spirochaetia; Spirochaetales; Spirochaetaceae.
GCCACCACGAGAGGGUGGGACUCAGGCGGACCGCCGGUGACAACCGGAGGAAGGUGGGACGACGUCAAGUCAUCAUGGCCCUUAUGUCCUGGGCUACACACGUGCUACAAUGGCCGGUACAGAGCGCAGCGAGGCCGCGAGGCGGAGCGAAUCGCUUAAAGCCGGUCCCAGUACGGAUUGGAGUCUGCAACCCGACUCCAUGAAGUUGGAAUCGCUAGUAAUCGCGCAUCAGCAUGGCGCGGUGAAUACGUUCCCGGGCCUU